RNAcentral lists this ribosomal RNA (253 nucleotides) under uncultured bacterium. RNAcentral describes it as "partial 16S ribosomal RNA". It matches the Rfam family "Bacterial small subunit ribosomal RNA", at positions 524 to 776 of the family's 1533-position model. The record is from RNAcentral.
UACGGAGGGUGCAAGCGUUAUCCGGAUUCCCUGGGUUUAAAGGGUGCGUAGGUGGGUUGGUAAGUCAGUGGUGAAAUCUCCGAGCUUAACUUGGAAACUGCCAUUGAUACUAUCAGUCUUGAAUAUUGUGGAGGUCAGCGGAAUAUGUCAUGUAGCGGUGAAAUGCUUAGAUAUGACAUAGAACACCAAUUGCGAAGGCAGCUGGCUACACAUAUAUUGACACUGAGGCACGAAAGCGUGGGGAUCAAACAGG